ACGGGAGGCAGCAGUGAGGAAUAUUGGUCAAUGGUCGGAAGACUGAACCAGCCAUGCCGCGUGCAGGAAUAAGGCCCUAUGGGUCGUAAACUGCUUUUGUGGUGGAGCAAUAAGGCGUACGUGUACGUCGAUGAGAGUACAUCACGAAUAAGCAUCGGCUAACUCCGUGCCAGCAGCCGCGGUAAUACGGAGGAUGCAAGCGUUAUCCGGAUUUAUUGGGUUUAAAGGGUGCGUAGGCUGUGCAUCAAGUCAGCGGUGAAAGCCCGGGGCCUAACUCCGGAACUGCCGUUGAUACUGUUGUGCUGGAAGACGGAUGCCGUGGGAGGAAUGAGUAGUGUAGCGGUGAAAUGCAUAGAUAUUACUCAGAACACCGAUUGCGAAGGCAUCUCACGAAUCCGUUAUUGACGCUGAGGCACGAAAGCGUGGGGAUCAAACAGGAUUAGAUACCCUGGUA
Molecule: ribosomal RNA, 454 nt
Filed under: uncultured Rikenellaceae bacterium
Lineage: Bacteria; Pseudomonadati; Bacteroidota; Bacteroidia; Bacteroidales; Rikenellaceae
Description: partial 16S ribosomal RNA
Rfam family: Bacterial small subunit ribosomal RNA
Source: RNAcentral